This 479-nucleotide ribosomal RNA is filed under the name uncultured bacterium. Its description in RNAcentral is "partial 16S ribosomal RNA". It matches the Rfam family "Bacterial small subunit ribosomal RNA", at positions 28 to 507 of the family's 1533-position model. The record is from RNAcentral.
GAUGAACGCUAGCGGGAGGCCUAACACAUGCCAGCCGAGCGGUAGAGUUUCUUCGGAAACUUGAGAGCGGCGCACGGGUGCGUAACACGUGUGCAACCUACCUUUAUCUGGGGGAUAGCCUUUCGAAAGGAAGAUUAAUACCCCAUAAUAUAAUGAUUGGCAUCAAUUAUUAUUGAAAACUCCGGUGGAUAGAGAUGGGCACGCGCAAGAUUAGAUAGUUGGUGAGGUAACGGCUCACCAAGUCAAUGAUCUUUAGGGGUCCUGAGAGGGAGAUCCCCCACACUGGUACUGAGACACGGACCAGACUCCUACGGGAGGCAGCAGUGAGGAAUAUUGGACAAUGGGUGAGAGCCUGAUCCAGCCAUCCCGCGUGAAGGAUGACGGUCCUAUGGAUUGUAAACUUCUUUUGGACAGGGAUAAACCUACCCUCGUGAGGGUAGCUGAAGGUACUGUACGAAUAAGCACCGGCUAACUCCGUG